UCCCUGGUAGUAUAUCGGAUUAGUACACGCGCCUGUCAUCCUAGCUAAUCGCGCGAGAGCGGGGUUCGACUCCCCGCCAGGGAG
This is a non-coding RNA of Russula dissimulans, 84 nucleotides long. The record is from the annotation of a GenBank genome assembly. NCBI's taxonomy places the organism in Eukaryota, Fungi, Basidiomycota, Agaricomycetes, Russulales, Russulaceae.